Non-coding RNA from Anditalea andensis, 123 nucleotides. The record is from Rfam. Lineage: Bacteria; Pseudomonadati; Bacteroidota; Cytophagia; Cytophagales; Cytophagaceae.
CAAAGACUGGCCUUCCGAUGGCGACUUGCCGGAGUAGCUAUCAAACCACCUUACGCUGCAAUUAGUGGAAAUACUGUUGUGGUGAACGGCUAAGGAAAAACGGAGACAUCGAUCCCUGAAGGU